Molecule: ribosomal RNA, 532 nt
Filed under: uncultured bacterium
Lineage: Bacteria
Description: bacterial SSU rRNA
Rfam family: Bacterial small subunit ribosomal RNA
Source: RNAcentral
AGAGUUUGAUCCUGGCUCAGGACGAACGCUGGCGGCGCGCCUAACACAUGCAAGUCGAGCGAGAACCAGGGCUUCGGUCCUGGGGACAGCGGCGAACGGGUGAGUAACACGUGGAUAACCUGCCCUCGGCACCGGAAUAGCCCGGGGAAACCCGGAUUAAUGCCGGAUGGCCCCACAUCCCUGCGGGGAACGUGGGAAAAGGUAGCUUCGGCCUCUGGCCGAGGAUGGGUCCGCGGUGGAUUAGCUUGUUGGCGGGGUAACGGCCCACCAAGGCGACGAUCCAUAGCUGGUCUGAGAGGACGAUCAGCCACACUGGGACUGAGACACGGCCCAGACUCCUACGGGAGGCAGCAGUGGGGAAUCUUGCGCAAUGGGCGAAAGCCUGACGCAGCGACGCCGCGUGCGGGAAGAAGGCCUUCGGGUUGUAAACCGCUUUCAGGAGGGACGAAGCCACUCGGGUGAACAGCCCAGAGGGUGACGGUACCUCCAGAAGAAGCCCCGGCUAACUACGUGCCAGCCGCCGCGGUAAUAC